CUAUCCAUUCUUAAGGAAAUCAGCCCUGAGUGCUCACUGGAAGGACAGAUCGUGAAGCUGAGGCUCCAGUACUUUGGCCACCUCAUGAGAAGAGAAGACUCCCUGGAAAAGACCCUGAUGUUGGGGAAGAUGGAGGGCACAAGGAGAAGGGGGCGACAGAGGACGAGAUGGUUGGAUAGUGUUUUCGAGGUUACCAGCAUGAGUUUGACCAAACUGCGGGAGGCAGUGGAGGACAGAGGUGCCUGGCGUGCUCUGGUCCAUGGGGUCACGAAGAGUCGGACACGACUAAACAACUAAACAACAACAACAAAACACCA
This is a non-coding RNA of Podarcis lilfordi (Lilford's wall lizard), 317 nucleotides long. NCBI's taxonomy places the organism in Eukaryota, Metazoa, Chordata, Lepidosauria, Squamata, Lacertidae. The record is from the annotation of a GenBank genome assembly.